Molecule: ribosomal RNA, 37 nt
Filed under: Pyrococcus sp. MV1019
Lineage: Archaea; Methanobacteriati; Methanobacteriota; Thermococci; Thermococcales; Thermococcaceae
Description: partial 23S ribosomal RNA
Source: RNAcentral
GGGGAACGCGGGGAAUUGAAACAUCUUAGUACCCGCA